CCCCGCUCUUUAGCUACACACAGGGAGGCCACAGUGCCACCGUGAGCUAGCAAGAAGACAGGAAGUGACAAUCAAGAAGGCUGGUGAUGACCUUACAAGGAAAGGCUGCACUCAGCCGAUGCACUGCGGCAGUCAGUUGUGCAAAGACCCAGGCUGGAUUCCUGAGACCCUGAUUCUCUGCCCAAGUGGAAUGCGCUCAUCAGGGUCCUCUAAAGAGGCUGUCACCCUCAGACUACAGGAAGAAGUUCAGUGAACACAAUGCCCACAUUCCCAAGAAGUGGGCUUCAAGAUUGCUGGGUAAUUUUUGUAUCCAUGCAUAUUAGCCUGAAAGUCCAUGAAGAUCCCGCCACAUUAUCAAGGUCAGAACGAAGACCCCACUUUGCGGCCAUCUAACUCCGUCUGGAAGAGCGACAGCUUCCA
Long non-coding RNA from Alexandromys fortis (reed vole), 420 nucleotides. RefSeq lists it as uncharacterized. Lineage: Eukaryota; Metazoa; Chordata; Mammalia; Rodentia; Cricetidae. The transcript is spliced from 3 exons. The record is from RefSeq and is a predicted model, not a curated record.